This is a long non-coding RNA of Myripristis murdjan (pinecone soldierfish), 96 nucleotides long. RefSeq lists it as uncharacterized. The transcript has 2 exons. The record is from RefSeq and is a predicted model, not a curated record. Lineage: Eukaryota; Metazoa; Chordata; Actinopteri; Holocentriformes; Holocentridae.
ACAUCUUUUUAUACAUCCACUGUUGUUUAUGAUACAUUUAAUGACAUUAGCUAGCUAGCUGGAUGACUACAGAGAUUAUAUACAGAAAUGGAUAAA